This 95-nucleotide transfer RNA is filed under the name Jeongeupia chitinilytica. RNAcentral's name for it is "tRNA-Ser". Lineage: Bacteria; Pseudomonadati; Pseudomonadota; Betaproteobacteria; Neisseriales; Chitinibacteraceae. The record is from RNAcentral.
CAGGUGCCUGGUGACCAUGGUGUCGCUCGGCAGUUCGAGCUUGUCGCCGGCCUGCGCCAUCAGCUCGCGUGCCAGUUCGACGCGGUCGUUCUCGC